This 330-nucleotide ribosomal RNA is filed under the name uncultured bacterium. Its description in RNAcentral is "bacterial SSU rRNA". It matches the Rfam family "Bacterial small subunit ribosomal RNA", at positions 568 to 898 of the family's 1533-position model. The record is from RNAcentral.
UCCGUAGGCGGUGUGGCAAGUCGGUAGUGAAAUCUCUCGGCUUAACUGAGAGGCUGCUGCCGAAACUGCCAUGCUCGAGUGCGAGAGAGGCGAGUGGAAUUGCGGGUGUAGCGGUGAAAUGCGUAGAUAUCCGCAGGAACAUCCGAGGCGAAGGCGGCUCGCUGGAUCGCAACUGACGCUGAGGGACGAAAGCUAGGGGAGCAAACAGGAUUAGAUACCCUGGUAGUCCUAGCCCUAAACCAUCAGGACUUGGGGUUUGCCCUGUACGGGGCAAGUCCCGGAGCUAACGCGUUAAGUCCUGCGCCUGGGGAGUACGGUCGCAAGGCUGAA